CACGUAGGGUGCGAGCGUUGUCCGGAAUUAUUGGGCGUAAAGAGCUCGUAGGCGGUGUGUCGCGUCGGCCGUGAAAACCUGCAGCUUAACUGUGGGCUUGCGGUCGAUACGGGCAUCACUGGAGUUCGGCAGGGGAGACUGGAAUUCCUGGUGUAGCGGUGAAAUGCGCAGAUAUCAGGAGGAACACCGGUGGCGAAGGCGGGUCUCUGGACCCCUCCUGACGCUGAGGCGCGAAAGCCAGGGGAGCAAACGGG
Molecule: ribosomal RNA, 254 nt
Filed under: uncultured bacterium
Lineage: Bacteria
Description: partial 16S ribosomal RNA
Rfam family: Bacterial small subunit ribosomal RNA
Source: RNAcentral